CCCCCGGGCUUGGUGUUGGGGAUCGGCCGCAGCCCCGCGCGAGCGGUGGCAGGCCGUCCCCCAAAUCCAGUGGCGGUCACGCCGCAGCAUCCCCUGCGUAGUAGCACAACCUCGCACCGGAACGCAGCGCGACCACGCCGUAAAACCCCCAACUUCUGAAGUUUGACCUCGGAUCAGGUAGGAAUACCCGCUGAACUUAA
RNAcentral lists this unclassified non-coding RNA (200 nucleotides) under soil metagenome. RNAcentral describes it as "partial contains internal transcribed spacer 2 and large subunit ribosomal RNA". The record is from RNAcentral.